GAUGAACGCUGGCGGGAUGCCUAAUACAUGCAAGUCGAGCGGUAACACUUCGGGUGACGAGCGGCGAACGGCUGAGGAACACAUUGGUACUUGCCCCAAACUCAGGAAUAACAUCGAGAAAUUGAUGCUAAUGCCGGAUAUCCCAGUAAUGGGAAAGAUUUAUCGGUUUGGGAGAGGCCUGUGUCGUAUCAUGCUUGUUGGUGAGGUAAUAGCUCACCAAGGCUUUGGCGCGUAUCUGGUGUGAGAGCACGACCAGACAGAGUGGGACUGAGACACGGCCCAC
RNAcentral lists this ribosomal RNA (283 nucleotides) under uncultured bacterium. RNAcentral describes it as "partial 16S ribosomal RNA". It matches the Rfam family "Bacterial small subunit ribosomal RNA", at positions 28 to 334 of the family's 1533-position model. The record is from RNAcentral.